This 72-nucleotide transfer RNA is filed under the name Anaerolineaceae bacterium. RNAcentral describes it as "tRNA-Arg". It matches the Rfam family "tRNA". Rfam says of the family: Transfer RNA (tRNA) molecules are approximately 80 nucleotides in length. Their secondary structure includes four short double-helical elements and three loops (D, anti-codon, and T loops). The record is from RNAcentral. Lineage: Bacteria; Bacillati; Chloroflexota; Anaerolineae; Anaerolineales; Anaerolineaceae. RNAcentral also lists the same sequence under 3 other names.
GCCCCUGUAGCUCAGAGGACAGAGCAGAGGUUUCCUAAACCUUGUGCACAGGUUCGAGUCCUGUCAGGGGUA